UAUUUUGGAAGAAAGAGCACUUGUUUCUUCAAGUUGACAACUUGGUCAAGUGAAAAAGAUUGUAGAAAAAGAUUUUGGCGAACUUGAAACUUGAUUUUGGAGACGUGUAUGAAGCGGAAAAGGUCAGCAGACAGGUGGACGUGAUCCUUAGAAGCUCUACCAGCCGCACUUGACAGCGCUCCAGUUGUUCCGGAGCCUCACUCCAGCGGUACUAUUUUAUGCAUAUACAUUCGGGCUUGGUAGCACCCCGGCCCUUUCUAUGUAUAAGUGUACUAUGUCUAGAGGCUCGUAGACAGAUACGUACAGUCAGUCAG
Lycium barbarum (goji berry) is the source of this 314-nucleotide long non-coding RNA. RefSeq lists it as uncharacterized. NCBI's taxonomy places the organism in Eukaryota, Viridiplantae, Streptophyta, Magnoliopsida, Solanales, Solanaceae. The record is from RefSeq and is a predicted model, not a curated record. The transcript is spliced from 3 exons.